This 385-nucleotide ribosomal RNA is filed under the name uncultured bacterium. Its description in RNAcentral is "bacterial SSU rRNA". It matches the Rfam family "Bacterial small subunit ribosomal RNA", at positions 28 to 416 of the family's 1533-position model. The record is from RNAcentral.
GACGAACGCUGGCGGCGUGCUUAACACAUGCAAGUCGAACGGAAAGGCCCCUUCGGGGGUACUCGAGUGGCGAACGGGUGAGUAACACGUGGGUGAUCUACCCUGCACUUCGGGAUAAGCCUGGGAAACUGGGUCUAAUACCGGAUAUGACCACGAGAUGCAUGUCUUGUGGUGGAAAGCUUUUGCGGUGUGGGAUGGGCCCGCGGCCUAUCAGCUUGUUGGUGGGGUGACGGCCUACCAAGGCGACGACGGGUAGCCGGCCUGAGAGGGUGUCCGGCCACACUGGGACUGAGAUACGGCCCAGACUCCUACGGGAGGCAGCAGUGGGGAAUAUUGCACAAUGGGCGCAAGCCAGAUGCAGCGACGCCGCGUGGGGAUGACGGCC